Non-coding RNA from Punica granatum (pomegranate), 3356 nucleotides. The record is from RefSeq and is a predicted model, not a curated record. Lineage: Eukaryota; Viridiplantae; Streptophyta; Magnoliopsida; Myrtales; Lythraceae.
UCGGUCCCGCCAUUCCAAACGAUAUGCCAUUCGCACCAUCUGUUCCUUCAUGCUACCGCCACCCCCCUGUUCGGUCUCUUAUCCGUCCUGCAACCUCUUCUUGUGUCGGUCCCGCCAUUCCAAACGAUAUGCCAUUCGCACCAUCUGUUCCUUCAUACUACCGCCAUCCUCCCUGUUGGGUCUCUCCUCCGUCCAGCAACCACUUCGGUCGGAUUAUCGCGCACUAACUCUUCCUCUCUCCCGCCACGCACCCCGUUCUCUUGCCAUCUGCGACUGAGUGCCUUGAGUCCCUUUUUCUUCUGCCCCUCCUCCAUCCACUGCCUCCUACAGAUGACCCUCCCUCCAAUGAAUGGCGGCCGGGACCCUCGCUCCGCCGUUUCCUUCUCUAAUCGGCCCAUCGCUGCUUGCCGAUCACCCUCAUAUGUCCGUUUGCGACCACCAAAACCGUUCCUCUCCAUCGAAACACUACCAGUACAUGCUCCGCCCUUUGCAGCACUUCACGCCUCUCUGAUUUGUUCCUUAAUAAUUGCUCGACGGGAAUGGACAGUUGCCUCUCCUUUUCUUUUCUCACGCUCUGUCCCAAUUCAUUCUCAGCCCUCUUGCUCCUACAUAUUGGUCGACGGAACGCCCUGAGAGUUGCUUUAAUCUCAUUUUUCGCGCCGGCAAGUCAUAGCCAUUGUAGCGUAAGCAUGCUCUGCCUGCCUGUGUUGUCUCCAUGCACUUAUUUAGCGAUUGAAAUAUACCACGCUUUCCUCACCAAGUUUUUUCUCAUUCACUGAUGUUUACUGCCCAUAUAACCCCUGGUACACACAGCUAUUGGCCUCGAAAAGUUCGGUUGUUAUGAUCCUAUUUUGUUGUAAAGGCGCUGGACUUCAGCCUUAAUUUGGUACCAUUUUCAAAUAAAAAUUCUUAUUUUUAAACUUGAAUUUGCAGCUAUCUAGAUGUGUUCUUAACGGUCCUCGAGGGUUAGUUUAGUUCGUUAUCCCCUCCCUUUGCAUGCGGAAUCAUUGUUGUAAUGAAAUUUUUCGCUCACCUUGCUCGGAGCACAGAGUUGUCAUGGUCUGGUUCUUAUUUUGGGUUCUGUUGGGCAAGUCCAUGUAGAAUUUUCAGAUACAUAAAUUAUUUCUUUUACUGCAUGGAAGCCUGUUUCCCAUUUAUUUUUAUUGUUUUAUAUUCUCAGUUAUUCUCAUCUUUAUUGUUUUAUACUCUCAGUUAUUCUCAUCUUUAUUGUUUUAUACUCUCAGUUAUUCUCUUGUCUUGCUCGAUUUUGGUGCAGCACGAUUGGUAUUGACUUGGGUACUACAAAUUAAACUCUUGUGUUGCCCUCAUGGAAGGAAAGCUGAGCAUUUCGAUAUUCCCGAUAUGCUGUUUUCUAAUUAUUUCAAGGGCCUAUUUACGUCUAACUGUUGUGACUUAUAUGCUGGUCAAGUCUGUAGAACCCCGGAGUUAUCGAAAAUGUCAGAGGAGCUGGGACCACUCCAACUUGGCUGCCUUCAACCAGAAGGCUGAAGUCCUUACUGGUACAACAGCAAAACGACAGGCAGUGAGCAAUCCGAAAAAUAUGGUUUUGGAACCGAGCAUUUGUUUGGAAGACCCUUUGAUGAUCCCCAAACUCAGAAAGAAACGAAGAUGGUACUGUAUGAAAUCAUUAGGCCUCCAAAUGGAGAUGCCUGGGUUGAGGCUGAUGGAGAUCAGUAUUCCGGAAUUACUGCCAAAUUGGUGCCUUCAUCCUCACUUAGAUGGAGACUGUGGAGACAUAUAUGGGACUUGAUGUCUAGAGAAUCAUCGAUGAGCCCACUGCAGCUGAACUAUCAUAUUGUAUGAACAACAGGGAAGGUCUAAUCGUGAUUUUCGAUCUUGGUGAUGGAGCAUUUGAUAUUUCCACCUUGCAGACAUCUAAUGGUGUUUUGAGGGUACGCAUCAGCAACAUUAUCGUGAAUUGAACUCAUUUUGUUCUGCAUCUUGCAUAAGUUUUCAGUAGAAACUCUCAGUGUGCACCUGCACGUUAAACCACCAGUGGUAACACAUUGUUGGAAGGAGAGGAUUUCUUUCGACAAUGCUCUGUCGGACUGCUUAGUCAAUGAGUUCAGUAGAACCAAGGGAAUUGAUCGUUCCAAGGACAAGCUUGCCCUACAAAGACUACGACCUUUAUGAUCCACCUAUAUUUUGAGGCUCAUGGCCUAAUUGGCUCGAUCAAUUUCAGGUCACCAGAAAUAGGAAUUACCACUGGCACCACUGGUGAUGCUUCUUCUCUGAAAUCAAAGAUUUCAAUUAUUAAUACUUAGAGUGCAGACUGUCGCCAUCGUCAACAUCACUGUUGACCCGGGUCGCCAUGAUCACUAACGCCGACAAGAUUUCACCAAGUCUUCCAUCGUCGGUCAGCUCUAUGGUGUUGAAGAAGCUGAUGAUAAUCCUAAUUCCGAUUGUGUCCAAAUGGCCUAGGAGGCGGGCCUCAUCAUGCCCCCUCCUCAGCCAUGAGUCUUGUUAUCAUGGAAUUGUCGCGGGGGGGUGUUUUGGGAGGCAACCCGACAAUUCGAGCUGUUCCCCUCCUCCUCCGAAAAAAAUAAAGCAAGCAUGCUAUUCCCUUAGGAGACAAAAACAUGCCAUGAACGAUGUGCCAAUGUGGCUUGCCGCUGCAAACUUGAUCAAUUUUUCUCUGUCGAUGCUCGGAGAUCAGCCGGUGGACUAUAUCUCAUGUGGAACUCCGAUAUAAAGGCAAAACUUUUGAUCUUGUAACUGCUCUUCACCAGAUUUAUGUUGCAUAUCACGAACAUUCCAAGGCCAGGAGGCUCCUAACCCCUAGAGAAAUCCCGUCCUUGCUCACUCCGUGCCAGCCUUGCGACUUCACAAGGAUCUCAUCAAGAUUAACACUGACGCUGCAUGGAGCUCGCACAGGACCUGUCUCUCAAGACUUGCAGCUCAGCCUGAUGGAACGACCAUUCUCUCUUGACACUCCAUAGUUGAUGCUCUCUCCCCCCUCUACGUGGAAACAUUGGCUGCAUUACAGGCUCUCUUCAUUAUUGUCGAUAGUGGUUGGGACAAGAUAUGGUUAGAAUGUGAUGCCUUGCUACUUGUGGAAGCCAUCUCCAAUCCCCAUUCAUCGCGUUGGGAGAUUAGAUUACUUAUUUCAGAUAUUAGGCUACUCCUAGAUAGGUUUUCUUAUUAGCAUUGCUCUUGGACCUCUCAUUCGAAUAACCGUUGUGCCCAUGACUUGGGCCAUUUUGGCUUCAUGUUAGAUUUUCAUUUCCUAUGCAUGUUUUACGGUUACCCUUUUAUCUCGGAUAUCAUUUAGUAAUUCAAUAAAAUUCUAUUUAAAUAUAAAAAAAAAUAUCAGCGCCCAUCCAUUUAAUAAAGAA